UCUUCCCUAUUUUUGGCUCUGACUCGUCCACGUACCCAUUAUCUCCCUUGUUUUCUCUUUACAGGUAAAAAACAAACAUCCCAGCGGUUUCUUCUCUGCAGAGGUCAGACCUACCUCCUGACACGGCUGAUAAAACAUAUUGACCUCAUUUCUGUGCCAUAUAUUCAAACCAGGACGAAUCAAGAGGCUGUUCAGGUUCAGGUUGUUUUAUGGCUGUGCUGUUUUUAUUGGUUGUUUUUUUUUUCUUGCUGUUACAGAUCCUUUUGAUAGAAAAUAAUCUCUUGUACUCUAUUAAUCCACGUCAAACCCAACAGAGUGAUCUGGAAUUAAAACACCUAUUUCUCAUUGAUACCAUUGCAGUGUAAGACGAUUGAUAUGAAGUAGGCUAAUCCUGGCUUUAAAUUACCAGCAGUUCUGUUUUUGCAUGCAUAAUUCAUCACGCUGGUGCUCGUGUUAUAAAUAUCAUAAUCAUAUAUGUCCUAUAUAAAAUGCCACUGCAGGCCUCAGAGCACACACCUCCUGAUUGCACAGUGCAGGAUGUUUGUCAUGAGCGUCAAGAGCGGCAGGUUUUAUUAAAUGAGCUGCUGAAACACCCAAGCUAACAACAGCUAACAGUUAGCAGCCAACGCCUAAUGUGGCUUUGAACCAAUGUCUGUUCAAAUUACAAUUUACUGGAAAUACUCUGAUAUAGUACAAAUAGGUCAUAAUUACAGAACUUCGGUAGGAGCACUUUGGUGUGUGCUGUUUCCAGCGUUCCUCCGUGUGAUAAGCUUCACCCAUCAGAUGGAGCUCGCUGUGUGGGCCCUUUGGACGAAUCUGCAUAACAAAUGCUUUAUCUUCAACGGGAAUGACCUUGUAGAGUUUGGGCAUUGAUCGGCACAUCGACUCAUCCAGCCUGAUAACUCCAAAACCCAUUUAUCAUAGGCAAAGUUUUAGCCUGCCGCGGCUACAUUUGCUGGCAGGAAAUCAAUCUAUUCUAAUCAGUUAAUACACUGACGGGUCAUGGCAGGAAUAUGUGAACAUGUACAGUACAAGCCAAAGCUCUGAUUAGAGAAGAUGGAAAUGUUGAGCAAUGAGAGCGAGGGGGAGAUAGGUCAAAUCGGAAAGACACAUAAUUCAGAGCAACGCGGCGCUAAUUCCCCAUCACGCGUCGUCAUUCCCUGAAUAAAUGUGAUUCUGAGGGAGGAAGCGUCUCCGGCGCCUGCUGGGCCCGUUUAGAAGCGUUCUGGCCGUUUCCCAUCCUCGCGGGGGGAGUGGAGGUGCACGCGGCCCUGCGAUCACAUACUGUAAUUCAGCCUCGGCUCACAGACAACAGAUGUUGCCGAUGGAGAGUUUCCCUCAAGGUUGGAACGUUUACGCAGGAUAAUGAAGCGGUCCCGUAAUGGAGCCGCCUGUUUGCUGGUGGGAUUACAGUAUGUGUGUGCGCUGGUUCAGGCAGGACCGACAGCCUCGCUUUGUCUCGCUGAUCAGGUUAUGGCCGCAUGAAGUCGUGUCCUAAUUAUAUGGUCUGUUUGCUAUGUUUGUGUAUCAUAUCCUCAUUAGCCUUUUGUUUGGGUGAAUAAAUAGCGCGCAGCAGAAUUACACUUGACAUCUUAGAACACAGCCUAUGUUACGUGUCAUUUGCAAUCACAGCUUAUGGCACUCACCGAGACAAAGUCAAUACCUCCUAAUGGAUGCAGGAAGUCUGUAACCUGUCCUGCGCUUAUCUGCUCCAAAUGUGACAGCACUAUUUAUUCAAGGAGGCUAAUCAGCAGCAGGAUGAUUAAAGCUUACAGUUUGGGUUGGGAAUCGAUGCCCGGCUUCAGGGGAGCAGCGCCUGCCACACUCAAAGUAAAGUAUAUUUGCAGUAGUAUCCCACUUUUAUUAAAUGGUCACAUUCUCUGGAUUGUAAGAAAAGCACUGCUUCACUUCCAGCAGCGGAGGCAGAUGGCCGCCCUUGAGUCCGCUGCAGUCUGCUGGAGCCUCUGUUCUCCGCUGUCAGCUUUCAAACUGCAGCAUGUCUGCCAACAACAGGCACCACAACACGAAGCAGGAAGCAACACCUGGUAGAAUAAAGACAAUAAUUAAACAUACAUCAAGCUUCAAAUUAGUUCAGAAAGGCUUCAUGGAGGAGGAAAUAUUUUCGUUAAGUGAUUUGGAAAUUCAAUUUCCAUGAACAUUUUUUACAGGUAAAUAAGAUGUUGGUUUCAGUGCAACCAUUUAUUCAUCUGUUCUAUGUGACUAAUGAAUAACAGAGGUGGACGUGUACUGAAGCCCGUGUGCAGAUGUGCUCGUCCACCCUGAACACGUCCCGUCGCUCUCCAGCAGCGUCACAGCGGCUGCUGCGAAGCCGCGUGACGUCAAGGUGACGCUCUGAAUCCCUCUCCUGCUGCCGUGCUCCUCCUCCUCCUCCUCCUCCUCCUUCUCGUCCUCCUCCUCCUCCUCCUCCCCCUCCUCCUCCUCCUGCGUUUGCUGGAUGUGACUUUGCUACUUCCAUUGGGGGCGUCUGGGCUGCAAACUGAGGGGGGGCUGUGCGUACAGUAAAUAAUGCUAAGAGUGUUUGUAACGUUUAAUGGCCCGCAGCCGGAGAUGAACUAUGUAACAACCUCACAGGAGCCAAACUCCCAAAGUGGAAGCUACGAAUGCUUGACGCCUCGUCUCUCUGUCCUCAGGUGCUGGUUUUGUGCUUGUUGUUUGUCUCUUUGAUGAAAUCUGUGCCCUUCUACAGUCAUUCCACGUGUUUUUUGCAGUUUUCCUUCACUUUCACUUGUUUCACUGUGUUUCUUUCGAUCAUUCAUCAUCUUUUUGUCAUUUUUCAUUUCGUUGUGGCCAUUUAGGUUAUUUUAUGACCCCUUGUUGCAUUUUGCAUCCCUUCAAAGUCGUUUCUUUUCUCCUUGUGUGUGUCUGAUUGAUUUUACCCAGCAAGUCAAUUUAUUCAUCCAUCCAUGACGCAAAUAAGAUCUAUCUAUCACCCCUCGACUCUGUCAGGGAGUUUGCAAUUAGGCACCAAGGGUGAGAUGUAUCCGACCCAAGGCCUCACCCUCCGGCUCUGCCCCGUCUGGAUUUCUGUUCUUUUCCUCUGUAGAAGUGGAGAAAUAGAAAGUGCAGCCAUCCUUUGAGAUCUCAUAAAUUCAAUGUAUUCAUAUUUCCCCGACUCAAAGUGCUUGGGAGUGCAUUCGCAGAGUCCAUAAGUCAAAACAUUGUCAGAGAGGCGAUAGUGAUGCAUGAGGACGCCGGUCCUCAGUUCAUUCCGGAGCAGGUACUCUCCGUCAGAUAAGCGCAACCUUAAUUCCUUCCGCUGGCCUAAUGUGUUUUUAAUGCAGCCCUGUGACUUAUGUUGCUGUCAGUCGGUUGGCCUCAUAGGGCCUCGUGGAUGCGAGUGGGCGGAAAGCGGCGACCAGGAAAAGGUGGCAAAGAUUAAUUGGAGCAGCGGCGGCAUCACGCGUUUGAUCAAAUCCGCAUUGACUGAAAUCACUGAGAGGCCUGAAUCUGGAAGAGGAGGAAAAUGCAGCAGCUCCGCUCGUCUCGGCCGCACGACGGAUGGGCUCCGCUUCCUCCAGUGUGCCUGCGAUCCAACACACAUUCACCCAAGGGGCGAUUUAUGCCAUCGAUGCCACGUGAAGGCCGGACGUUGUCUGGCUGCGGUGCAGUUUGCUACAAAUGUUAUUAAUUGUCUGCGUGUUUGUGCGAUUUGAGGAUUUAUUACAAAAUCGGUAGGGGGCAGUAAAUCAUGAGGGGAAAGUCAGCAACAAACACUCUUUAACUACAGGGAGUUCAUAACUUAUGAUUCUACUUUCUAAAACAUCCCCAAGGAGGUGAACAGGGCAGCUAAAGUCCCACUGUAUCUGCCACAAGCUGCAGGACUCUCCACACAGUGCGCCCACUAGUGGCCAGCAGAGGAACAGCAAGGAGCCGCUGCUCGCUGGGAGCUACAGAUUCCUCUCCACUACAUCCAAUGGAAAUGAUGGCCUAAAAUCCAACAUCCCGUUCAUACAUGUUUAAAUAUACUGGGGUUCAAUAAGUUGUUUUAAUGUGUAAAUGCUGCUAAAAUCCUGAUUGGUCCACGACUGCACGUGACACCGUCUUAGUCUUAUUGAGCCCAUCACCUUCAAUUCAUUCAAUCUGUCAUCUAGUUCAUCAGUAGUGGAUAAUAAACUAUGGCGAGCAAUGA
Long non-coding RNA from Betta splendens (Siamese fighting fish), 4150 nucleotides. RefSeq lists it as uncharacterized. The record is from RefSeq and is a predicted model, not a curated record. The transcript has 2 exons. NCBI's taxonomy places the organism in Eukaryota, Metazoa, Chordata, Actinopteri, Anabantiformes, Osphronemidae.